Molecule: long non-coding RNA, 717 nt
Filed under: Cricetulus griseus (Chinese hamster)
Lineage: Eukaryota; Metazoa; Chordata; Mammalia; Rodentia; Cricetidae
Description: lncRNA (ENSCGRG00000024491.1)
Source: RNAcentral
CUCAGGAAGUGACAUAGCAGGGAGACUCAUAAGGGCAAGAAGGAAGUGGGCCACCUUCUCUCUUCCUCCUGGUCUCUGAUCUGGGGUUGCCAUGUGAUCCACUGGCAAGAGAGGGCACCAGCAGAAGGCAUCAUCUAUAAGAGGCCUUUAAAAACUGAACCAGAAAUUUGGCCCCCAUGUUCUCUGUUUUCCCUUGGCUCAACCACCAAGAGUUCUCACGGACAUCACACGUAUCUUUUAACAGAAUCUGAGAUAGUAGUUGCCAAUAUAGGCUAGAUUUGCCUCCAAGUAUUGGGACUUCUUUUGGAGUGAUAAGAAAAUAAGGAAGGAUGCAAAUUCAUGUUCUGACAGCUCAUUCAAUGAAUCUGCAGGCAAUGAGACAUUCUGGUGUGGUUUACUAUUCAAUACAAGGAAUUCUGUUAUUUUCUAGAGUUUCAUCAACACAAGUGUUACAAGCAUACUGUUGUUUUCAUUCUACUGUUGAUUUUAGAUUUCUACAUUUCAGAUUGACUUCAAGGCUCUUGGAAGAUUGGAAAAGGACAAAAAGACCCAGUAACAUGUUUGGACUUGAAAAUCAGAACAAGCAGGCAAUCUGUAGAGCUAUCUUGGAAAUAAGCUAUGAAAAGAUAACAUCCCCACCUUGUGAUCUUGGCAGAACCCUUCCUACACUGUACAGAGAUACACAUAAUUCCACCUGAACUUCUGAGAAGUAGAAAG